This 547-nucleotide small RNA is filed under the name Pan troglodytes (chimpanzee). Its description in RNAcentral is "retained intron". Lineage: Eukaryota; Metazoa; Chordata; Mammalia; Primates; Hominidae. The record is from RNAcentral.
AAAUGUCAGAGCCAGGCGCAGGCUUUGUGUUUGGUGCUGAUGCAUGGCAUUUACUCUGAAGGUUCAGGAAAGUACAUGGGCUUUGCGGGGUCUGGCUGCCCAAAUACGGGUUAAUUAGCAACAGCUGACAGCAGCAGCCCCGGCCACAGGAGAGAGGUGACCCAGACCCUUGAUAAAAAACCCUCAUGGGAGACAAAUUAUUCUGUGAAGGAAAAUAACUCAGGCUUUCCUCAUUGCCACCCUCCGCGAGAUUUUACCCCAGACCUGAGGCGGCUGUACUAACAAGACUCUGAUCUUUCUCUUUGUGUUCAAGGAUAUCCCAACUUCGUGGCGACCUAUGGCCGUGGCUACCCCGGAUUUGCUCCAAGCUAUGGCUAUCAGUUCCCAGACUAUUUGCCGGUUUCACAAGACAUAAUUUUUAUCAACUAGCUCUUAAGAGAGGCAUAGCAAAGUGGGGUUUGCUACCAUUUCUAGAGAGAGAGGACACAGUCCUGGCCUGGGCUGCCCCCGCUCCAGUCAAUGCUCACUGAAAGUCUGUCUUAGCUGC